CAAGGAAAGGAGAACCCACACUGAAGAAACUCAUGUUGCAGGGGCCUCUUCCCCCUCAGUUCCCGGCUCGGUGAUGGUGGAGGCCCUCACUGCUGGCGCGAUCUGUCCACACGAUCCGUCCGUGGUGUAAACACCAGUUCCAGAUGCUGUCCCAGGUGCUUGUGACCCUCUUUCCAAACAUCAAGAUUCAAAAUGUAUUAUCCACAAUGAUGACUCAGUUGCCCUGUGAAAAUUACUCCAGUAGAGAAGCAAACCCUGCUGGAGCACAGAGGCCCUGAGCCGCUGUGGAGAGGGAGACGGACGCAUAAAGGAGGGAUUCCAAGCUCCAAGCAGUUCUGUUGCUCCAGCCUUCACCCUCCUCUAGGUGAGGUGACCGGCUGCUUCCCAGCAGCCCAGAGGUGCCGUCAAGGCUGUUAGCCAGAGGCCGCCAUGAACGCCCCUGACUUGCUGCAGCACGGAGCCCCCCACCAUCGACGGUGCUGGGGAGUCGGGGAGGACGGGCGCGACUUGGCAGCUUCAUGGAGGUUUCGGGGAGCAUUCACGGCAACUGCUGCACUCUGUUCGAUGCUGUCAGGAAGCAGGGGUGACUCUGAGACUUACUAUCUCAGUUCUUAUCUAGAAGGUGAGAAAAACGGAGCAAGGUGCAAGGUGUCAUUGGUAGAAAGUGGCAGUCACUCACAUCCAGCAGGAUGGGGAGUGUUGGUCGUCUGGGGGAGGUGGGCACUGCUCCUGCCUGUGUGCAGAGGGGACCCUGCUCUUGUCCUGUCCCCUCAGUCACAGGACAGCCUUGUCUGUGGGGCCGUCAAGUCCAACAGGAGCCUUCCAGUGCCUCGCUGUGCGUGCUCAGGGGCUGCCUCGAUCUUUCUUGGUGCCUUUUGAGGUGACAGGAAGAUAGCCGUGUAGGCCACGGUGAGAGGCAGGCAUACCAGACUCAGUGCCUUUAACCGGGCAGACGCUGACCUUCCAGUUCAGCUGGAGGAAGACUCCAUGUGUUACUCAAAGCCAAUCACCACCCUCUGCUGGUUUCUUGAUUCCUCUGCCUUGAAUGUUUUUCUUUUUUUCUUUUAGAGACAGGGUUUCACUCUGUUGCUCAGGCUGGAGUGCAG
Cercocebus atys (sooty mangabey) is the source of this 1106-nucleotide long non-coding RNA. RefSeq lists it as uncharacterized. The record is from RefSeq and is a predicted model, not a curated record. Lineage: Eukaryota; Metazoa; Chordata; Mammalia; Primates; Cercopithecidae. The transcript has 3 exons.